RNAcentral lists this ribosomal RNA (501 nucleotides) under uncultured bacterium. RNAcentral describes it as "partial 16S ribosomal RNA". It matches the Rfam family "Bacterial small subunit ribosomal RNA", at positions 30 to 523 of the family's 1533-position model. The record is from RNAcentral.
AUUGAACGCUGGCGGCAGGCUUAACACAUGCAAGUCGAGCGGGGGAAGGUAGCUUGCUACCGGACCUAGCGGCGGACGGGUGAGUAAUGCUUAGGAAUCUGCCUAUUAGUGGGGGACAACAUCUCGAAAGGGAUGCUAAUACCGCAUACGUCCUACGGGAGAAAGCAGGGGAUCUUCGGACCUUGCGCUAAUAGAUGAGCCUAAGUCGGAUUAGCUAGUGGGUGGGGUAAAGGCCUACCAAGGGGACGAUCUGUAGCGGGUCUGAGAGGAUGAUCCGCCACACUGGGACUGAGACACAGCCCAAACUCCUACGGGAGGCAGCAGUGGGGAAUAUUGGACAAUGGGGGGAACCCUGAUCCAGCCAUGCCGCGUGUGUGAAGAAGGCCUUAUGGUUGUAAAGCACUUUAAGCGAGGAGGAGGCUACUCUAGUUAAUACCUAGGGAUAGUGGACGUUACUCGCAGAAUAAGCACCGGCUAACUCUGUGCCAGCCGCCGCUGUAA